This 26-nucleotide non-coding RNA is filed under the name Mus musculus (house mouse). The record is from RNAcentral. Lineage: Eukaryota; Metazoa; Chordata; Mammalia; Rodentia; Muridae.
GGGUAUGUCAAAGAGAAAAAAAAUGG